This 456-nucleotide ribosomal RNA is filed under the name uncultured Streptococcus sp. RNAcentral's name for it is "bacterial SSU rRNA". It matches the Rfam family "Bacterial small subunit ribosomal RNA", at positions 920 to 1382 of the family's 1533-position model. Lineage: Bacteria; Bacillati; Bacillota; Bacilli; Lactobacillales; Streptococcaceae. The record is from RNAcentral.
CCCGCACAAGCGGUGAGCAUGUGGUUUAAUUCGAAGCAACGCGAAGACCUUACAGGUCUGACAUCCCGAUGCUAUUCUAGAGAUAGAAAGUUACUUCGGUACAUCGGUGACAGGUGGUGCAUGGUUGUCGUCAGCUCGUGUCGUGAGAUGUUGGGUUAAGUCCCGCAACGAGCGCAACCCCUAUUGUUAGUUGCCAUCAUUCAGUUGGGCACUCUAGCGAGACUGCCGGUAAUAAACCGGAGGAAGGUGGGGAUGACGUCAAAUCAUCAUGCCCCUUAUGACCUGGGCUACACACGUGCUACAAUGGUUGGUACAACGAGUUGCGAGUCGGUGACGGCGAGCUAAUCUCUUAAAGCCAAUCUCAGUUCGGAUUGUAGGCUGCAACUCGCCUACAUGAAGUCGGAAUCGCUAGUAAUCGCGGAUCAGCACGCCGCGGUGAAUACGUUCCCGGGCCUU